Long non-coding RNA from Melitaea cinxia (Glanville fritillary), 90 nucleotides. RefSeq lists it as uncharacterized. The transcript has 3 exons. NCBI's taxonomy places the organism in Eukaryota, Metazoa, Arthropoda, Insecta, Lepidoptera, Nymphalidae. The record is from RefSeq and is a predicted model, not a curated record.
ACAUUUAAUAUCCUGACACUAAUGAAUUUUUAUAAACAGAAUUCUGAAUUUUGACUAGAUAUUGUAUUUUGACAUUGUUGUAGGUAUAUU